RNAcentral lists this ribosomal RNA (497 nucleotides) under uncultured bacterium. RNAcentral's name for it is "partial 16S ribosomal RNA". It matches the Rfam family "Bacterial small subunit ribosomal RNA", at positions 28 to 507 of the family's 1533-position model. The record is from RNAcentral.
GAUGAACGCUGGCGGCGUGCCUAAUACAUGCAAGUCGAGCGAACAGACGAGGAGCUUGCUCCUCUGACGUUAGCGGCGGACGGGUGAGUCACAUGUGGAUAACCUACCUAUAAGACUGGGAUCACUUCGGGAAACCGGAGCUAAUACCGGAUAAUAUAUUGAACCGCAUGGUUCAAUAGUGAAAGACGGUUUUGCUGUCACUUAUAGAUGGAUCCGCGCCGCAUUAGCUAGUUGGUAAGGUAACGGCUUACCAAGGCAACGAUGCGUAGCCGACCUGAGAGGGUGAACGGCCACACUGGAACUGAGACACGGUCCAGACUCCUACGGGAGGCAGCAGUAGGGAAUCCUCCGCAAGGGGCGAAAGCCUGACGGAGCAAAGCCGCGUGAGUGAUGAAGGUCUUCGGAUCGUAAAACUCUGUUAUUAGGGAAGAAGAAAUGUGUAAGUAACUAGGCACGUCUUGACGGUACCUAAUCAGAAAGCCACGGCUAACUACGUG